Molecule: long non-coding RNA, 214 nt
Organism: Nerophis ophidion (straightnose pipefish)
Lineage: Eukaryota; Metazoa; Chordata; Actinopteri; Syngnathiformes; Syngnathidae
Exons: 3
Source: RefSeq, a predicted model, not a curated record
CCAAAGACGGAAGAAGGAGCAUCUGCAUCCAGAAUUUCAAGGACAUCUGCCUCAUAACUCUGUCAGCUGACCGCUCAUGUCCAGCAUGCUACUCCUGGUUGUAACGACUGCCGUCAGCCUGUUGCUAGGUGCAAGCGCUCAAUUCACGGCAGACUUUGACGCCAGCAGCUGUCCCAUCAACUUCUACGGACAAACAUACAACACCCUUUUUGUG